GCCGCGGUAAAACCAGCACCUCAAGUGGUCAGGAUGAUUAUUGGGCCUAAAGCAUCCGUAGCCCGCUUUGUAAGUUUUCGGUUAAAUCCAUGUGCUCAACGCAUGGGCUGCCGAAAAUACUGCAUCGCUAGGGAGUGGGAGAGGUAGACGGUACUCGGUAGGAAGGGGUAAAAUCCUUUGAUCUAUUGAUGACCACCUGUGGCGAAGGCGGUCUACCAGAACACGUUCGACGGUGAGGGAUGAAAGCUGGGGGAGCAAACCGGAUUAGAUACCCGGGUAGUCCCAGCUGUAAACGAUGCAGACUCGAUGAUGCAUUGGCAUAAUAGCCAGUGCAGUGUCGCAGGGAAGCCGUUAAGUCUGCCGCCUGGGAAGUACGUACGCAAGUAUGAAACUUAAAGGAAUUGGCGGGGGAGCA
RNAcentral lists this ribosomal RNA (415 nucleotides) under crenarchaeote SCGC AAA008-G03. RNAcentral describes it as "SSU rRNA". It matches the Rfam family "Archaeal small subunit ribosomal RNA", at positions 464 to 878 of the family's 1478-position model. Lineage: Archaea; Thermoproteati; Thermoproteota. The record is from RNAcentral.